Molecule: small nuclear RNA, 104 nt
Organism: Pteronotus mesoamericanus
Lineage: Eukaryota; Metazoa; Chordata; Mammalia; Chiroptera; Mormoopidae
Source: RefSeq, a predicted model, not a curated record
AAUAAAAUCUUUAAUAAAUAAAUAAGAUUAGAACAAUACAGAGAAGAUUAGCAUGGCCCCUGUGUAAGGAUGACAUGCAAAUUUGUGAAGUGUUCCAUUAUUUU